CAAGAAGUUAUAUUUGGGGGAUACUUUAUUGGGUGAAUUUGCCAUCUAACCAAGUUUGGAGUCAAAAUUAAGUAAAUAGCUUUGAUUUUGACGUUAUUAAAUUGAUAACAUUUCGUACACCUUUUAUCCGAUUAUGUCAUUAUCUUUUCUAAGUUACCGGUGAUAGUGAGACCAAAGAUUAACGUUGACGAGCGCACAUGUCCAAGAGAAAUUGAGAUUUAAUAUGGUCUACGUACGGGUUAAUUUCUAAGUAAGUGUUCUAUUCCAUUUAUAUAAGUACUACGUCAGAUAGAACAAACAGAACAUCUUCAUAAACUUUAAACCUAACCUGCACACCUAAAUACUAAACCAUAAACUCGAGGUUCUAAACCCAAACUCAAAUAUUAAAUUUAAUUUAAAGUUACAAUAUUUUAAAGAAAACAACAAAAAAAAUAUAUAUAUAAAUUUUGAACUAUUAUUCUAUACUAUCUAACAUGGAAUGAAGACUACUCUUGUAAUUCAACCCCAACCCACCUCCAACCCUAAACCCAACACACCUCCAAGACUGAAAUACUAAACCCUAAACUUGAAUUCCUAAACCC
This 581-nucleotide long non-coding RNA is filed under the name Brassica napus (rape). RNAcentral's name for it is "long non-coding RNA (BNAP_LNC010068)". Lineage: Eukaryota; Viridiplantae; Streptophyta; Magnoliopsida; Brassicales; Brassicaceae. The record is from RNAcentral.